This is a long non-coding RNA of Arabidopsis thaliana (thale cress), 425 nucleotides long. RefSeq annotates it as other RNA. Lineage: Eukaryota; Viridiplantae; Streptophyta; Magnoliopsida; Brassicales; Brassicaceae. The transcript has a single exon. The record is from RefSeq.
CAAGAAUUCUCUAACUAUUACUAGAUACGAUGAUCAAACAAAGGGAGAUCAAUGAGGUUGAGUGGUGGCAUGAUCCAGAUAUUCUCAUAAGGGUUCUGUUUUUUCCACUUGAAGCAAACCUCACUCUCUUCAUCAACCUUAUAAUAUAUGCAAGUCCUCUUGAAUCCAUGGAACACAGAGAGACACAAACAGUUCCAUAUUCCACUCUGCUUCUGCUGCUCGGCUCUGGAUUCAGAAGACAAAGCGCUUGCGUAGAUCGUCAAGCCUCCCAGUGUUUUCCUCUCAGCCCAUUCAAAGCUAGUAAGGUCAAGUUUAAGCACUGUUGGGUUCAUGUGUCUGUACAUAUAAAUGAGAAAGAUCUCUCCUUGGUGUUCUGUCAUAAAGCAUCCGUUGCUUCCAGGACGUUUAGGAGGUCUCCCAGGAAG